UACGUAGGGUGCGAGCGUUAAUCGGAAUUACUGGGCGUAAAGCGUGCGCAGGCGGUUCGUAAAGUCUGAUGUGAAAGCCCCGGGCUCAACCUGGGAACUGCAUUGGAAACUAGCGAGCUCGAGUGUGGCAGAGGGGGGUGGAAUUCCACGUGUAGCAGUGAAAUGCGUAGAGAUGUGGAGGAACACCGAUGGCGAAGGCAGCCCCCUGGGCUAACACUGACGCUCAGGCACGAAAGCGUGGGGAGCAAACAGG
This 253-nucleotide ribosomal RNA is filed under the name uncultured bacterium. RNAcentral describes it as "partial 16S ribosomal RNA". It matches the Rfam family "Bacterial small subunit ribosomal RNA", at positions 524 to 776 of the family's 1533-position model. The record is from RNAcentral.